UACGUAGGGGCCUAGCGUUGUCCGGAUUUAUUGGGCGUAAAGAGCUCGUAGGCGGUUUGGUAAGUCAGGUGUGAAAUCUCCACGCUCAACGUGGAGGGGCCACCCGAAACUGCCAUGACUUGAGUCCGGUAGGGGAGUGUGGAAUUCCCGGUGUAGCGGUGAAAUGCGUAGAUAUCUGGAGGAACACCGGUGGCGAAGGCGGCAUCCUGGACCAACACUGACGCUGAUGAGCGAAAGCCAGGGGAGCAAACGGG
Molecule: ribosomal RNA, 254 nt
Filed under: uncultured bacterium
Lineage: Bacteria
Description: partial 16S ribosomal RNA
Rfam family: Bacterial small subunit ribosomal RNA
Source: RNAcentral